UGACGACUGUGCCAUCUGUUGGGACUC
This 27-nucleotide non-coding RNA is filed under the name Homo sapiens (human). The record is from RNAcentral. Lineage: Eukaryota; Metazoa; Chordata; Mammalia; Primates; Hominidae.